UGGAAUUGUUUCAGUCUCACUGUGGUUGGUC
This 31-nucleotide non-coding RNA is filed under the name Xenopus tropicalis (tropical clawed frog). RNAcentral also lists the same sequence under 1 other name. Lineage: Eukaryota; Metazoa; Chordata; Amphibia; Anura; Pipidae. The record is from RNAcentral.